Molecule: non-coding RNA, 166 nt
Filed under: human gut metagenome
Description: Lysine riboswitch
Rfam family: Lysine riboswitch aptamer
About the family: Riboswitches are metabolite binding domains within certain messenger RNAs that serve as precision sensors for their corresponding targets. Allosteric rearrangement of mRNA structure is mediated by ligand binding, and this results in modulation of gene expression.
Source: RNAcentral
AAAAGUAGAGGUUGCAGAUUUCAUCAGUAGAAUAUUCGACGAAGUCAGGUUCGAUUGAGAAUAUUAGAAAGGGACAUCUGCCGAAGGAUUGAUUGCCUGUCUCUUUCAUUUCCUGGGCACUGAGUUAAGAACUCUUUGACUGUCACCAACGGUGGAGCGCUACGUG